GAUGAACGCUGGCGGCGUGCCUAAUACAUGCAAGUCGAGCGAACGGACGAGAAGCUUGCUUCUCUGAUGUUAGCGGCGGACGGGUGAGUAACACGUGGAUAACCUACCUAUAAGACUGGGAUAACUUCGGGAAACCGUAGCUAAUACCGGAUAAUAUUUUGAACCGCAUGGUUCAAAAGUGAAAGACGGUCUUGCUGUCACUUAUAGAUGGAUCCGCGCUGCAUUAGCUAGUUGGUAAGGUAACGGCUUACCAAGGCAACGAUGCAUAGCCGACCUGAGAGGGUGAUCGGCCACACUGGAACUGAGACACGGUCCAGACUCCUACGGGAGGCAGCAGUAGGGAAUCUUCCGCGAUGGGCGAAAGCCUGACGGAGCAACGCCGCGUGAGUGAUGAAGGUCUUCGGAUCGUAAAACUCUGUUAUUAGGGAAGAACAUAUGUGUAAGUAACUGUGCACAUCUUGACGGUACCUAAUCAGAAAGCCACGGCUAACUACGUG
This 497-nucleotide ribosomal RNA is filed under the name uncultured bacterium. Its description in RNAcentral is "partial 16S ribosomal RNA". It matches the Rfam family "Bacterial small subunit ribosomal RNA", at positions 28 to 507 of the family's 1533-position model. The record is from RNAcentral.